Molecule: ribosomal RNA, 466 nt
Filed under: uncultured bacterium
Lineage: Bacteria
Description: bacterial SSU rRNA
Rfam family: Bacterial small subunit ribosomal RNA
Source: RNAcentral
CCUACGGGGGGCUGCAGUGAGGAAUUUUGCGCAAUGGGGGAAACCCUGACGCAGCAACGCCGCGUGAGUGAUGAAGGCUUUCGGGUCGUAAAGCUCUGUCAAGUGGGAAGAACCCACAUAGUGUUAAUAUCACUAUGUGUUGACGGUACCACUGAAGGAAGCACCGGCUAACUCCGUGCCAGCAGCCGCGGUAAUACGGGGGGUGCGAGCGUUAUUCGGAAUUACUGGGCGUAAAGAGCGCGUAGGCGGUCUCUUAAGUCAGGUGUGAAAGCCCGGGGCUCAACCCCGGAAGUGCAUUUGAAACUAAGGGACUUGAGUAUGGGGGAGGGAAGUGGAAUUCCUGGUGUAGCGGUGAAAUGCGUAGAUAUCAGGAGGAACACCGGUGGCGAAGGCGACUUCCUGGACCAAUACUGACGCUGAGGCGCGAAGGCGUGGGGAGCAAACAGGAUUAGAUACCCUUGUAGUC